Molecule: transfer RNA, 72 nt
Filed under: Chloroflexota bacterium
Lineage: Bacteria; Bacillati; Chloroflexota
Description: Chloroflexi bacterium tRNA-Arg
Rfam family: tRNA
About the family: Transfer RNA (tRNA) molecules are approximately 80 nucleotides in length. Their secondary structure includes four short double-helical elements and three loops (D, anti-codon, and T loops). Further hydrogen bonds mediate the characteristic L-shaped molecular structure. tRNAs have two regions of fundamental functional importance: the anti-codon, which is responsible for specific mRNA codon recognition, and the 3' end, to which the tRNAs corresponding amino acid is attached (by aminoacyl-tRNA synthetases). tRNAs cope with the degeneracy of the genetic code in two manners: having more than one tRNA (with a specific anti-codon) for a particular amino acid; and 'wobble' base-pairing, i.e. permitting non-standard base-pairing at the 3rd anti-codon position.
Source: RNAcentral
GCCCCUGUAGCUCAGAGGAUAGAGCGAUGGUUUCCUAAACCGUGCGCCCGGGUUCGAGUCCCGGCAGGGGUA